This is a long non-coding RNA of Mus musculus (house mouse), 18621 nucleotides long. RefSeq annotates it as predicted gene, 52710. The transcript has 3 exons. The record is from RefSeq and is a predicted model, not a curated record. Lineage: Eukaryota; Metazoa; Chordata; Mammalia; Rodentia; Muridae.
UUUCAGUGGCUGGGAUUAGCAGAAACCAAAGGGCAGAGAAUAAGACACUAGAGAAUGCUCAACUGUACAGGGAACAUCUCUACUGCAUCCCUCCCCCCACACGACUCAGGAAUCAUUGCAGAAGAAGAGAUGAAAAGACCGUAAGGGCCAGAGACAGUAAAUAAAUACAUGAAAGCACGGUCUUUGGGACACAGCCAGGCAGCUGCACCCAUGGGCUCAUGGCAGUUGUGACGGUGUGCACAGGGGCUCUUUGAGCUCAAAUUCCAGCAAGAAAAGGGAGCGUGGACACCAAGUCUCACCCAGCCAGCAGCUAUAGCUAUAUAGCUAUAUAGCCAGUUGGUAGCUGUUGGAAGAGGGAAGAGUUAUCUUUAAUGGUGUGGCCCUGGUGAGUCAGCCAUACUCCAGUGGAAAGUCAUGCAUCCCACAAUACAUGGGUAGCACAAACUGGACUCGGUGGAUGCAGAAUGAGGCCACAAAGUUGGAUGGGUAAGGGUGAUCUGGGAGGAGUCAGGGGAAGGAGGAAUAUGGGCAAAAAUCAAUGUAUGAAAGUCUCAAAGAUCUCAUUUUUAAAAACUACAUAUAAGUCAGUUACACAAACAUUAGGUAGGAUAACUUACGCUUUAUUUAUUUAUUUAUUUAUUUAUUUAUUUAUUAUUUAGUUAUUUGGCUUUUUUGAGAUAGGGUUUCUCUGUGUAUUUCUGGGUGUCCUGAAACUCACUCUGUAGACCACACUACACUGACCUUGAACUCACGGAGAUCCAUCUGCCUCUGACUCCUGAGAGUUGAGAUCAGAGGUAUGUGCCACCACCGCCUAGCUAGCUAAGGCUGUUUUUACAGCAGAGAUGGGGAACAGAGGGUAUAGCAAUUGCCAAGCAGAGUGCACGGAAGCUAAGACCCAAGGCAAGGAAAGGGACCUGAAAAAUCUGGGGGGAGAAGGGCAAAGGGGCAUCUUGCCUUUGUGCUGCACAGAAGGAGCACACCCAUGAAGGGAACUGGGUGUGGCUGCAGAGGACAGAGCGGGUGGCAAGGAGGCAGGGUGGGAGGCGCUAGGCUCUGUCCUAAGAGCUCAGUUUAGAGCCGGAGGCCCUCAGCCAAGCCACGAACUCAGAGUUCAGCAUGAGUUUCGGGACUCGCUCCCGGUCUGCACAUACACGUUCACAGUGCCAUCAUUCAGAAGGAACCCAAGGGUCCACUUAUGGACAAACCAACAGAUAAAACCUGUAGGAUGCUUAAAAAGAGUGAAACAGUGACACCGGCUCCGGUACAGAUUGAACCCUGAGAGCAUGAUGCCAGGUGAAGGAGCCGGUCACAAGUGGACAUGCGCUGUGUGGUUCACGCAAGAGAACUGGACAUGCGCCAUGCGGCUCGCACGUACGCAUUUCCACGGCAACCAGAGUCAUAGCGCUAAAGCAGGGUAGGCCCAGGGGCUGGCAGGGGCGGGGGUGCUGGGUGUGCACUGCAGAGUUUUGGAAAAUGAAAGGCAUUUGGAGAGGGAUGACAAUGAUGGUGGAUGCAUGGCAAGGUGACUGCACCUUCUGCCCCUGGACGGGCUAGCUCGUGGUCAUGUACAUGGAAAAUGUCCUCACAUUUAGAUGUGGCCAUCCAAUGUUCGGUAGAACAGGGAUAACAUGCGUGUAGUGGUCAGCAUGCUGCCCUGCUGGUCAAAGGUCCUCAACAGAAAUCACUAGAAGCUGAAGGACUACAUCAUCCCUCACAUAUUCUACACUAACCAAAGCUCGCCCAAGGGAAUCGUGUGUCCAACAGCAGCAGGCCAGAGUCCCUCCUACCCUAGCUGCCCUGUGCCGCCCGGAUGACCAACCCUCUAGGGAGAGCAUGCCCUACUGCGCUCCUCUCAGCCAGCUCUCCAUAAAGAGCCAUGGCCUGGAUGCUGGACUUCACCCACCAGGCAAACGAAAAGGAAUAUAAGACCGUAAGCCUGCAUGAAAUUGCCCAAGCACAUAUAUAAGGCUAAUGCCACUGCUAUAUUAAAAUACUAAAUUCAUUUUUAUACUUUUUUAUUUAAAUUGCUGGGGCCACUUGCCAUGGUUGAUUAAAAAUUCUGAACAGGGUGUAUUGUGUGAGCCAAUUAUGAAAGAGUGUAUAAGUGCUGUGAACAUUACUUGGAAAGUACAGGAAACCAUUUGUAAAAUGAAAAUUCUUCCUUUAAAAAAAAAAAUCUGUUUAAAAGGUGAGAAAAACCGGGCCUGGUGGCAACUGCUUCUAAUCUCGGCCUUCAGGAGGCAGAAGUGGUAGGGUCAAGGGAGGAGCCGGAGGUGAAGGUCAUCCUUAGCUAUAAAACUAGUUCAAGGGCAGCCUGGGCUACGGGAGCCCAUGACAAAGUUAAUUUAAUUAAAGAACAAAAAAAGAGACGCAAUGGAGGCAGAGGCAGAGGCAGAGGCAGAGGCAGGGGCAGGGGCAGAGGCAGAGGCAGAGGCAGAGGCAGAGGCAGAGGCAGAGGCAGAGGCAGAGGCAGAGGCAGAGGCAGAGGCAGAGGCAGAGGCAGAGGCAGAGGCAGAGGCAGAGGCAGAGGCAGAGGCAGAGGCAGAGGCAGAGGCAGAGGCAGAGGCAGGAGGCAGAGGGGGUUUGCUCUGAGCCUGUGCAGGCACCAAGAGUGGCAGCCUAGUGGGCGUGGCUUCCCCAGGCUGGCUGCACAAUCCUAGCCCACCAAGCUGGGCCCAGGCCAAGGUUUGUUUUCCAUCCUGAACUUGUUUCUCCUCAUCCUGGAGCUCGUCCAUGCCUGAACUUAUGAGAAUCCUGUCGUGCAGAUUCUGUUCUGGCUUUGAGAGGGAAGCCAACGCACUUUGGCUCUGCAGCUAUCCCUGAGCUGGAGGAGCUAGCUCCCAGUCCAGAGGAGACAUUGAUUCAUGCACUCAGCCAGACAUCGGAUGGACUAGCAGACAAGCUACCAGCCCGGCUGGAUCUCACACUGAGGCAGGGGGAUAGCGAAGCACAAACGCUUUGGGAGAAAACAGUCAUUGUGAAAGCAAAUCCCCAUGCUAUGAACAUGCUGGAUGUCCUUUCUAGCUUUGGCAUAUGGAGAAAACUUCCACGAGGUGGGACCUGGGCAGAAAGGAGGACUCGCACGAUCUGUCUGACAACUCGGAUCGAAAGGCACCUGAGCCCAUGGAGAAGGGAGCUCUUGUCUGUCACUGGGAAUCAAGCUGAAAGGGGCCCUGAGGUUGGAGACAAGGAGACAAGGAAACAGGCUUCCGGCAGACAUGUUAGAGCUCCUUCCUGGAUGCCAGCAGGCAGCACAGAGUCCCGAGCACCGAGCCUGCGGGGCUGCCAGCAGCUCCAAGGCCUGUCUACACAUCACCAUGGCGAUUCCCUUCCUUGGGAAACAACUACGUUUGUUUUCUUUUCCAUAUUUUGGACGGAGGCCAUUUGAUAAUUACAAAAUGUACAACCCAUAAUGUGUCCUAAACUGUCUCUGAAUAGUAUGUGGUUUUGAAAUAAUACAUAAAAAGCUUAAUAAAAAUUAAUGUGGAAAAGAGACUCAUCAGCCUCAGCUGGAAAUAAAAUCAGUAUUAAUUACUUUGCCCGCAGUCACUCUGAUGAGCUAGAGAUGGCAAGACCGUUUCCCCCAUGUAGGAAGGGGAUGUGGAGCUAUCCCUGCCCCUCUGCCUCUCGAGCCCCCAAGGUCUCAUCAGCACAGUCCUGUGUAUCAUGGUACCUCUGUAAGGUUCGCUAUGCAUGUCUGUAUUGGGUUCCAGGGAAAGAACUGUAUGAGGGUGGAGCUUGACAUGGAACACGUGACUAUGAGGGCGGAGCUUGAUAUCAGGACACACCUCUAUCUGCUGGAGUAUCCUUGAGAGGUUCAUAUUCUCGGACCUAGCAGUCCCCAGGAGCUAGCCGGAACCCCAAACCUUGCUUGAGCACAGAACUGUAGAGCAUCAAAGCAGCAGGUGACAAAUCCCCCACCAUCCGUGACCACAGCCCUGUUAUGUGUCCGGGUAGCUCAGCCAGGAAGCGUGAAGCCUGAGUUCUGGCUAGUCCACACCCCAGAAAGCCACAAACCAAGAACGCAGAUGGGCUGCUGGGUGCCAUGGAGACCUUCACAGCCAUUUGUCAAGGCUGGGGUUCAGGGACUCCUGCCCCUGCCCCACUGCAGCGGGGGGGGGGGGGGAGGGGCUGGACUGCUCCUGCUAUGAUGCCCCCAAGCUUCCAGUACCUGCACUCCAGUGAACUUCCUUAAACAGCCCACCCACCCAGCAGCCUGUCCUCCAGAGGAGAUGGGGUCCCUCCUCCCACAAACUACACACGGGGGAGGGGCAUACAGGAGCUGGCCUUCAGUCUCAGAACUCCUGACAUCCUUGAGGAUAUUUUAUUGACAAAACCACACGGUUGGCCUGUCUCUCCCUUUUGUUAUCCCUUAGAACUUUGCUGUGUUCCUGUGAGGUCCGUUAAUGAUGAGGUGUAAGUAACAAAGUGGACUCCAGGGUCUGGCUUCUAGCUCAGUCGCUUCCGGAAGCCUCUGCACAACAGAUCACCUGUCUUGUGGGAUUAAAGGAGACAACCGAUUUAGAUGAUUCACCCAAGAGCCAAGUACAGGAUAAAUGGCAAUGUACAUUACUAAGUGAGAUGAGAUAGUACUGAUUAUGGUGAUGAUGCUGGACAUAAAGACGAUGGAGAUGAGGAUGGAGACAGAGAUGAUGGUGAUGACAGUGAUGGUAAUGGUGAUGAUGAUGAUGAUGGAAGCAGAGAUGAUGGUGAUGGUGACAAUGGUGAUGACGGUGACAAGGAUGUUGAUGGUGGAGAGGAUAAUGUCGAUGACAUCAGUGACUGACAGGGACCCGAUGACAGCAGUACUAUGGGGUACCAUGACAGCAACAAUGACACUGGUAUACAGGUAAAGCUAUGGUGGUGAUGACGGCAGUGACUGUGAUGAGUGAGAUGAAGAUGGCAACCGUGACAACAGUCAUGAUGAUGAAGACGAUGGUAACACUGAUGCUUAUGAAGACCAUGGGAUGCGCUCUCUGGCUUUUAGGCAAAGUGCGAUCCAGAUGACCAAACACUUGAGGGCUCAGAGCUCUGCUCAUGCCCAAAUCUGCAAACCUGAGCUCAGCUUCCUCCCUCAGUCAGGUCCUGCAGGCUCAGCAGAUGCAAUCUUGAAUCCUUAUUCAUCAAAGAGAAGGGGGGGGGGGGAGUCCCUCCCUGCACUGGCUCACAUCCACUGACACCUCUCUCCAGUCACCCCAUCCACAGGCUUCCACUGCUGACUGGCCACCACUACUGCUGCCAGCCCCAUCAGAAAGGUCCUACGCCAUCCCUGUCCUAGAGUCCUAACUGCACCAUCCCCGUCCUGAAACCCUAUCUGCCGUGCCAGCUGUUUGUAUCCCGCUUUUGGUGGGAUUCCAUCCCUUUGGACUAAAUACCACCACACACAAAACGCUGUGUAGCUUCUCUGGAUAAGAAGAGAGACCAUGGGAGAGCUGCCAUCAUAGACACUGCUUAUUAUCUGGGUUAUUUUUGUUGCAGCCAACACAACCUAGGCAUAAACAAACAGCAUAGAGUCCCAGGAGCCAAGCUGGAAUCCCCACAGGCAUCACUUCGAGCAAUCUGAUGUGCUGCAUGCAAGACACAGUGCAGAACGCCACUGCUCAGCCUAGAGUUCCAGUGAGGAGGGGCAGGGUCUGGGAAGCUGUGUCUCCACCCGCCCAUCACUUCAGUGUUAAACUUCCAACAGCCAGAGUUCAUGACAACAGGAAUCUCAGAUCCAAGUCUCCUUGCACUGAGAUCCUAAGCCCAUCCUUCCGAGCCGAGAGAGUCCAGCUAGGGCUCGCUCAGCCUCCCUCCAUCCUUGGAUGGUGCUGUUGGCUAUUCUCACACCCAAGCAUCUAGUGUUAGCCUUCAUUUCACACUCCAGGAAGGGGGAGGGGGGCGGACCCACUCAUAUCUGGCUCAGAAAGGCCUUGGAAAAGUUUACUUUUUUGUAAAUGUUUUCUUUACCAAAGCCAAAUCCCAGAGCCGAUGUGAUGUGCGGUGGAUUAGACAAUUAAAGCAGGCGCACAGAAUACAAAUCUGAGUUUGUUCAGCUGGGUCGAGAGGAUCUCGCCAUUUCCUUCCUCCCCCAAGUCAAUUUGCUCAGAGAGCGGCCUUCUCUCCAGAUAAGCACAUUGACUUUAAAAUAACGUGCGUGCCAACAGCUGCAGCGCUACGAGAGAGCAGACAGAGCCAUGGCAGCGAAUGAUAAUUAAAUAUAUUUUCAUCAUCCGUCAUUUCUUCUUCUUCUUUUUUUUUUUUUCUGCAGGUGCCAGGGUAAUAAAUCUAAACUCGCCUCUUUUGUCAGCUGGCAGUGAACACAUUUUAACUUGAGAUCUCUUGGGAGGAAUUAAGAGUCACUUGGCCUUGUAAAGGAGAAAGGGUUUUUACUUCCAAACUGCCAAGUGGGGAGCUCACAGCUGAUUGGCUUCAUGAUACUUUAUUAUUUGACAAUAUAUACGCGUCAGGUUGUAUUUCAGAAUACCACACCUACAGGAUAACCAGGGCUCCAAGAGAUCCAUCAUCGGAUUCUAGAAUAAAAACCUAUUUGAGAAGAUUUUCACCACUAUUUCUUUUUAUGAAUCCUAGAUUUAAUGUAUUAUUGACUUAGGUUUAUUCCAAUAUUUUAGAACUUUUUCAGCAUUCUUCAAAUCCCCCCACAGCCCUUUUUCUCCUUGUAGCACUUCACAGGCAAAGCUGGUGCUGCGCCGCCUGCAGCCCGAGUUAAGUGUUUUCGAUUGGCCCGAGGAGUUUGGUUGACUUUUUAUUUUGACAGUUUAACGGCUCCUGCUCCCCAGGGGCAGCCUCACGUUCCUUAGUUUGCAGCCUGAUGGAACUGCACCCCAGCCUCUCUGCCUUUCUUCCCUCUCGCAGCAGCAGCAGACAGGAAACCCUCGCCUUGUCCUCCAUCUAUGAAUCCUCAAACACUAACGCCUAAGGCUGGUGACAAGGGACAGGUGAAGAAGAGGAAGGCUUUGAAUAGGCUUCCUUGGCGGGGAAGAAACGACUUUACUAAGCUAAGAAGACCAAGGACCUUGAACGAUGGUGGGUCCCACAGCCAUUCCACACAGUGGGGUGCUACCUGACACAGUUCCAAAGGAGACACUAGGGAGAGCACAGCAUUAGGGGCUCCCCCAUCAAAGCCCCCGCAAGCUUUGAUUCAGAAGCUGAGAAGCCAAUUCGGGAGGCCAUGUGGAUAUGAAGAGGUCUCGGAAGAGCUGAGAGAACUGGAAGGUAGGUGAGAGUGGGGACAGCCUUUUGUCAAAGGAUCCAACGCCGUUAAAAGUGUCAGGACAGUGUAGUAUUGGCUUAAAAAUAGACAAGCAGAUCAAUGGAAUAGAUCCAGAAAUAAACCCUCACAGAUAGGGACAGAUCGCUCUUCACAAAAGAGCAAACUGUGGUGCCCCGUGGGCCUCCUCCCAGUUAACUAGCAGGAUGCUGAGGUAACCCGAUGCUUCAAUGAGAAAGACUGAACCCACCCACUCCUUACGUGUGUGGGAGGGGGGAACGCCUCACCCACUCCUCACGUGGGGGGGAACGCUCCACCCACUUCUCACUUGGGGGGCGGGGGAGAAAGGCCCCACCCACUCCUCACACAGGUAAGAAAGAAAUCCACGGACAACAAAUAAAGUCAACGCGUGAGAUGGCUCACUUGCACCUGCUGCCAAGGCUGACUGGCCUGAGUCUGAUCCCCAGGACUCAAGUGGUUGUCCUCUGAAUUCCAGAUAUAUGCUGUGGUGUGCACUUGCACGUGCGCGUGUGCGCGCACACACACACACAAAUAAAUAAAUGUAAUAAAAGAUAAAAUUUGGAAGAAAUGUCAUUAAUAUAUUAUUAUAUAUUUUAAAAAUCAAAUUUAAAAGUUUUUUAAAAAAUAACAGAAAUACAAAACAAAAAUAAAAUUUGGGACGGGAGAGAUGACUCAGCGGUUAAGAGCACCAGCUACUCUUCCCGAGGACCCAGGUUAAAUUCCAAGCACCCACGUGGCAGCUCACAAACAUCUGUGACUCCCGUUUCGGGGGAUCCAUCCGGUGCCCUCUUCUGAUCACCACAGACACCAGGCACACUCAUCCUACAUAUACAUACAUGCAGGCAGAACACUCAGACAUGUAAAAAAGACAUUAAAGAACAAAGACAAGACAAAACCCCUCUAGUUGAGUGGUAGAGCACACACUUGACAGUCACCGAGCAAGAACGGAAACAACAGAGCACUCUGGAAACAUGGGAGAAUGGACACGACUCAAGAACAAUCCGUAUCAACGAGAAAGGCAGAAAUGAGCUUCCGUACUUAAAGGUACAGGGCUGUCAGGCUGGAAGGAAACUGGUAAGAAGACCCUGUGCUAUGACAGACUGACAGAGGGGAGUCUCUCAGAGUUCAGUGGCAAGAAAAGAAAAUCAGUUAUCUGUUUGGUUUUGAGAGAGGGUCUCACUGUUGUCCUGGCACUCACUAUGUAGACCACCAGGUCAGCCUUGAACUCACCACAGAGACAAUCCCAAGUGCUGGGGUACCACAUGUCGAUUAGGUCAGAUGAAGUCAAAAGGCUGACCACAUGAAGCAGUACAAUGUAGAGAAGCUGGACUCCUCACCUCAUGGUGGGUGGGAUGGUAAUUAGUAUGGCCACACUGGAAAACAAUGACAGUUUCUGCAUGGUUCAGCCAUUCUACCCCAUGCUGUUACCCACUGCCCCAACAAGGAGCUGGUUGUAAUAUUAACUAAUUUUAAUUGUCAUUUUGACAACAAUGACACACUCAGUAUCCAGUUCAGGUUGGUCUGUGAACGUGUCUAUGGGGAAUCAUCUUAAUAAUAUUACUUGAGGUAUGUAGAACUGCCCACUGUGGGCAAUACCGUUCCUUGGGCCUGCAGACAUGUCUUUUGGGAAUCAUCUUGAUAAUAUUACUUGAGGUAGGUAGAACUGCCCACUGUGUGCAGUACCAUUCCUUGGGCUGGGGAUCCUGGACUGUGUAUAAGUGAAGAAUGCAAGCUGUGCACUAGCGUGCAUGCAUAACAAGAAAACAUAUCCACACAAAGACAUCCAUGUGAACGCUCGUGGCAGCAUUAUUUGUAACUGUCCAAAACCUGAAAACAUUGUGACUAUCUGUCAGUAGGUUAACGGACAAACCCUCUCAGACCCGUAAGAUAGACCGCUACUCCACAGUAAGAAUCAAUGUGUUUCCUAUCAUGCUGGGAUGCAUCUCAGUCAUCACACUGAGUAAACAAAAGAACAGUACGCCAUUUGCUGCAUUUACAUAAAACCCUCAAAAUGGAGAGGUGGCCCAGCAGUGAGGGGCACUUGUUGCUCUUGCAGAGGACCUAGAAUUCAGUUCCAAGCACCCAUGUUGGGCAGCUUACAACCACCUACCAUUUCAGCUCCAGGGAAUCCUGCCUCCUCUUCUGGCUUCUGCCACUGCCUGCUUGCACAUGUGCACACACUUACAUGCAGAUGUGCAUAUAGACACACACUGUUAUGGUUUGUAUAUGUUUGGCCCAGGGAGUGGCACUGUUGAGAGGUGUGGUCUUGUUGGGGUAGGUGUGUCACUGAGGGUGUGGGCUUUAAUACCCUUCUCUUAGCUGCCUUGGAACCAGUAUCCUGCUAGUAGUCUUCAGAUGAAGAUUAGAGCUCUCAAGCCGCUCCUGUACCAUGCCUGCCUGGAUGCUGCCAUGUUCCCACCUUGAUGAACUUGUAAGCCAGCCCCAAUGAUGUUGUCCUUUAUAAGAGUUGCCUUGGUCAUGGUGUCUGUUCACAGCAGUAAAACCCUAACUAAGACAUACAAAAUAAAAAAAAAAAAUCUUAAGUUUUUAAAACUCUGUUAAUGUAAAAUGGUCUAUAAUGGCAAAAGGCAAACCCACAGCUGCCUAGAAGAGGGCAUGCCUGUAAGGUGGCACUGGCGCGCAUGGCUAGGGAGGGCAGGACAGCCUUCCUGUCUUGGUUCAUUGUUCGAAAUGCCCUGACUCACCACGUUGUCCAUUCUUGAUGCAGCUUAGUACCUGUCAAUCAAGCUCCAGGGAAGCUUUUGUGUUUAAGUGUGCAAUGAAAGCAUUGCCCUGUGGGGUUGUGUGAGGAGGCUCCAGUCGGCACAGGUGCCGCUUGCCCAGGAAGGGGGGGGUGGGUGGGUGGGAAAUGAGUUGUCAAAAGAAACAGGGAUUUGCCUGUCACUGCUGGUGAAAAAGUGUGUGCCCCAACUCAAAAGCACAUGCAUCCACUCACUCAUUCCUCCACCCACAGAUGACAGACGAGCCCUGAGGGGACAGAGACGGUUUCUCACCUGCCAGAAACCAGAGCAGGGGCUCUGCUGAUGUGUGCUGACUGCUCCGUGCCUUGGCCCCAAGCCUGCACAUCUGCAUGCAGGUGUGAGAGCACACAGCCACAGCCAGAUUGCCCAGCUGGCUGAACUGGAUUUGGGCAGAUGACACUUUGUACCUUAAUUUCUUCAGCUAAAAAAACAAAAAAACAAAAAAACAAAAAAACAAAAAAACAAACAAAACAAAAAAAAAAAAACGAGGAAACAGCAAUCCUGCCCCCACGGGGCUGUCACAAUCCAACCAAUUAACACCCGUGUGAUUCUCAGCACAGUGUCAGGCAUUCUUAGGACCUCGGUGUGUGCUACAUUUAACGCUUUAUGACUACAUCACCUGGAGGGACACAUGCUGGGAUGUGGCAAGGUCUUUGCUAGAGCAAGUGUCUCUAGUCUAUCUGAUUUAUAGUACUUUGUUUUCAUCAUUGAAGUCAAUGAGAGACCCACAUGUGCAAGUAGGCCAGCAAGCUCGGGAGCUACGGCACCCACUCCUGCAACACACACCAGCCCUGAACCAGUCUCUCCACUGCCAGUGAGGACUAUGACCCCAAACCAGAGAACAGAGACUGAACGCCCUGGCUUUGGGAUUUCAAAAGCAAAGACCCAGACAUGGAGCAGGGUGAGCCAGAGUGGUGAACAAGAGGCUACCUCCCUAGCUGCAAGCUUCAAAGAGGCUCAAGCACCAGCAUAGGGCCUGAGUCUGGAGGUCACUAAACCGGAACCCCAGAGGUUCACAUGUGACAACCAGUUUCCCAAGCCCCUAAGACGGAUGCAGACACAGCUGACAAGAGCUGGCAACCUUACCUCCUUACAGGGUGACAACCUUAUCUCCUUGUGUGGCUCACACCAACAAACCCACUAACUUUGGAUCAGGGUUAGGUACUGGAUAUUGAGCCUGGGGCCUUAACAUGCUCAAAGCACUCUGCCUUGAAGCUACAUAUCCAGCCCUCGGGGAAGAUUUCAGUUGGUUUAGAAAACAUAGAAUUAAACAAAGUAGUGUUUCUGUAGCUUGAUGAGAUGAGGGAGGGAUUGAUCUAGAAGUUAAAACAAGUUACAGAAAGAGAAGGACCUGUGUUUGUGUACCCAAGUUGUCCUGAUGUUUGUCCACCUAUAAACUUACUGUGACAGUUUGUCAAUAUCACAUCCUAGAAUUUCCAGGAAAGGGACUCUCAGUGAGAGACUGUGUAGUUCAAGUUGCCUGUGGACAUAUCUGUGGGAGAUUUUUUUGACUAUAUCAGUCGACAUGGGAAGCCCUGUCUACAGUGGGUGGCACCCUUCCCUAGACAUCCUUGACUAUAUAAGAAUGUGGUGGUUUGAAAAGGAACGGCCCCCAAAGGUUCAUAGUCUUGAAUUGGAGCAGUACUACUUGACAGGAUUUAGGAAAUGUGGUCUUGUUGGAGGAAGUACGUCACUGGUGGUGGUGGGGUGGAGGGAGGGUUAAAAUGCUCAAGUCAGGCCCAGCGUUGCUCUCUUCCUGUUGUGUGCAUUUGGAUAUAGAGCUCUCGGCUUCCUCUCCAGCACCGUGUCUGCUUGUGUGCUGCCAUGCUUCCUGUGAUAAUGAUAAUGAACUAAGCCUCUGAAUGAAGCUAGCCCUAAUUAAGUGUUUUGUUUUGGUUUUGGUUUUUUAUAUAAGAGUCACUGUCGUGGCCAUGGUGUCUUCACAACAAUAGAAUACUAAGAAAGAGAGUGAGCAGGUGAGCUGAGUAUCUAUGCAUUAAUGUAUUUAUGCAUUAACCCAUGGCUUCUGCUAGUGUGGAUGUGAUGUCACCAGGUGCUUCUAGCUCCUGCUGUCUUGACUUCUCAAUAAGUGACUUUCACCGAAGAACUCCCUUAGGGUGUUUUGGUCAAGGUAUUUUGUCAUAGCAACAGGAAACCUAGACAUUCAUGGCUGUCAACAGUAAAUAGCUAUGCCUCUGGAGCAUCAUGGCAUGCAGGGACCCUCAACACAGAUGGAGCGAGACUUGGACUCAGGAGGACAGAUGAGCGGACAGGUAAGGACACAGAGCAAGGGGAACGAGACUGGUGGUAUAAAGGCUCACAGGGGCAUCUGUGGGACCUGGAAGUAUUGAACGACCCACAAAGGCAUUUCCUCAGCUACAGCAAGAGAAAACAAGUUGAGUCUAAGACCUGGAUCCCAACCAGGGGCCAUGCCCUGUGAAGUCGCUGUGGUACAGAACGCUGGGGGAAUGUUGCCAAGUUGAUGCUAGAGAGACAAAUGCCCCCAGAUCCUCACCAAUGACCUCUGGCAUUUGUGAGGUUUUUGUCCAUCCCCCCGAGGGACAGGGAGAGGGACAACUGGUUAUUUCUCUCAUGCUACAUUUAUUCUGCUGGAAGAGCUGCCCUUUACUCAAGCACUGUGUCCUUCCAACUUUCCUCUGAUCAGACAUUAGCGGUACCCAGGACCUGGAAUUCUUCUAAGUCUUACUUGGCAAAAUUGAAAGUCCUUCACCCUGAGUGCCAUCCAUCUGCACAAAGGACGCACUGCCGUGUAAAGCAUCACCCAUGGGGAGAGGUUCACUGACAGUGAGACCAAGGCUAAAUGACAAGAGAGGAAAGGUGUCUUCCACAGCCACGAGGAAGCCUGGUUCCAAGGGCAGGGAGGAGGAAACAGAGAAACUGGGUCUCCUCUCAACAGGGGGCCACAAUUUGAGGAAUGACUUGGAAAGCAAAUCUUGGGAAGUGUGUAUGUGUAUGGGGGGGUCUUUCACCAGAGAGGCUGAGAGCAGAGGACUUUGAGGGAGGAGAACAAGAAGGUGCAAAGGUCCCAAGGGGAAAGUGGACAAGCACAGACUGUAGAAGGCCAAUGCCGCAAGCCCUGGUGAGGGCCGCCUAUGGAAGGGGAGGUGUGGAAGGCAGAUGCGUGGGCAGGGAGAGGAAGGAAGGGCCGGCACACCUGCUUAACAGGAAGCACCCCUGCCCAUCCCAGAUCAGUCAACUCUACUGACAUAGGCACCUGCUGGAUGGGGGAUUGGCUCUGAUCCUUUCAGAAACCCCAUUUUGUAAACUGGGGGGCUGCAGAGCUCUUGACCCUUUGAAGCUGUGGCUUUUAAAACUUCAGGUGGAGGGCACACGCCCACAAAAACAGCAAAGGGGAUAUUCAGCUCUGCACGGAGCAGAGCACUGCAUUCCUGGAAAGGCCACAGCGCAGCCAUGGGCUUGAAGGCACUCUCCUCACAGGGAGGGUUCACUGGGCCACGUCCUGGAAGAACCUAUGUUCAAGUACCACCAGGAAUGUGGAGCUCACCUCCACCAAUGGCUAGAUAGUAAGGCUGAUGCUCAGCAGAAAAGAAAGAGGACGCACGGGCCACCUACCCCUUUCCUAUAGAUGGUGUGUGUGUGUGUGUGUGUGUGUGUGUGUGUGUGUGUGUGUGUGUAUGUGUGUGUGUGUGUGUGUGGUUGCCUAGACCUGUCUAUCUCUUCUGCAAACCUUUCCAAUGGGUACCCGGGAUGCAAAGCCUGAGGGAUGGGAAUAGUCUUCUCAGUUGACCAAGGGCUGCCCCCCAAGUCUCUAGAACUUUGUUCCCUAAAUGUUCCAAGGCAUCUUAUACACAGGGGACCCACAGGGCAUAUUAAACCCCUGGGGGUGGGGGAGGGAUGCAACCCUCAGUAGUACCUGGGGCCCAUCGGCUCGCCCAGGAUGGAUCAUCUUCACCACUGGCCAUUCUUUGGAUGGCCCUGUGAGGAUGCCAUGCCUACGUUCUUGGGGUUUGCUGAGAUAAAAGGCAAGGGCCUCAACAACAACAACAACAACAAGAGAAAAACAACAAGAAACAAACAAACAACAACAGAACAGCAUUUGAAACAGGGAAUGAGGGUGAAGAGAUCCAAUGUGACCCAGGGUUUGCGAGUUCACAAAUAUUUGAAGGGUAUGCAGCCCACCAUGGCGAUAUGGUCACAAAGGACAUCUUAGAAAGCAGGUAUGUCGUCAAGUGGCUACUAAGCAUGUUCACCAUGGACACACUGAGGACUCUGGGUCUAAACUACAUAGAUACUGUUAGGUAGUUAAGUCUAAGGAUAUCAUUUAAAAUUUAAUCACAGAAAGACUUAGGGGCCAACAACCCAGGUACUUCUGAUCUGGGAGAAAAUGAGCUCAACUCUCCUCAAGACAUACUCCAUCCCAAAGUGAGAGUGGGGGCUAGAUGAUUAUACUGGGAGCAUCACACAGGAUGGCCAGAUACAGUCUUGAACCAGUGACUGAAGGACUUACUUCACCCUCCCACCAGCCAAUGAAGGACUUAUUUCACCCUCCCACAAGCCCAUGAAGGACUUAUUUCACCCUCCCACUAGCCCAUCAAGGACUUAUUUCACCCUCCCACCAGCCCAUGAAGGACUUAUUUCACCCUCCCACCAGCCCUUUUGCCUUGAGUGCAGACUGUUCUGGCACAAUUAGUAGUUUCUUAGUAGUCAGCAUGCUUCUCCUGUGGGCAUAGUGGGAGGCAAGACAGCUACAAGUAUUGGAACCACCCACUACCCCUAGUGGGAAGAUGAGCUGCAGACCCCUGUGAUCAGGGGCUGCCAGAAGCUGAGAGCUCAUCUGGUCAGCAUGGAGUGUGUCUCUUUGGUAGAGAGCUCUAUAGCUGUGGGGCCUCCAUCUACAAGGUCUAACUGGGACCCAGUCUUGCCUCGCUGCAGUAGGGAUCUGGCAAGAACACAUACCAAACGGUCACCUUGAGGAACAGUCACAGCCACACUCUGCAUAAUGGCCCUGAAGUCAGGACUCCAGAAUGUACAGGCAGGACGUUCAAGACAGGAAGGAUGGCAGGGACUGUGGGGUAGCGAAGGCAUCGGGGAAAAGACAUGGGGUUGAGGCGGCUUCCAGGAGGUGAACAGUGGGAGGAGACUCAGAAAAAGCUCGCCCUGGUCCCAGGCUCUGGAAACUCCUUCCUCUAGACCUACUGGCCCAUGCUCAGCGGGCAGUGCUGGUCCAAGGGCAGGCCUCAGUCACUGGAACUGGACACUUAAUGCCUCACUAUUCAGAUGAAGCUGUCACGGUAUCAGCUGUGAAGGGCCCAGCCUGGCCUCGGCCUGACAUUUAUAGUCACAGUAUAAUCUCUUAUCAUAUCCAAGGCAACUACAACCAUGUCACAAGAAAAAAAAAAAUGCCUGGAGAAAUCGGACCAAGGGGCAGCUCAGGCUGCCAGAGUCCAUCAAAAUCGCUAUUUGCAAGAUUCUCCGCCAGCUCUACUCAAUGUGUUGCCACCCGAAGUGCUAAAUCCCCAGCGUAGUAAUAGAAAGAGUAUUCAUAGGCACUCUCGGCUUCCAGUAAGAUGUAGGAACUUAGCUCACAUCUUUGAAAGUAUAUAAAUAGCCUCAGCAAAGGAGCUGGGACGCGCUUCUUAGUAAAUACAGCUGACCCAUUUUCCAGUCUUCACCAGGAAUGGAGAGACUGUUACACGGAGAGUACAGGACAAUCUAAAUAUAUACUUCCUGCUCACAGGGCCAAGAGCAGAAAAGCAGAGUCGAUGCUCUGUGAGUAAGGGGGGAAAGCUAGGCAGGGGAGGGGUGGCUGUGGUCACCUCUGUAUGCACAGUCGCCAAGUGGAUGGAGCUGAACUCUAUCUAAUGCCUGCUUGGGGCAAAGCGGGCCACGUGGACCCUGGUCUCUGCAGGCCAUUCAUUCCUCAGGAUCACCUAGCCAGCCUCUCUCACAAGCCCCUCCUUGCCACUGAUUUUUUUGUUCAUUGGCCUCUCUGUGCCUUUGUCUCCCGUGGCUCUCCUUCAAAGCCAUGAUGGCUCCUCCUUUUGUCACCGCAGACUUAAGAACAGUGCUUGGCCGGGGACAGGCACACAGUAAAUAUCUAUCCGACGACUGAGUGGCCUGGCUUGUUACUGGCUCCAGGUAAGCUUCUGUUGGCUUGUCACCAACCAACCCAGGUGGCCCUUCAGUGUAGGGAGCUAUCGGCCGGCCUGGAGAGAGCGGAGCAUUUCCGAUGCAUUGCAUACCAUUCUUCUGGCAAGAGCUGUAAUAUUAAAUAAUUCACUAAACCCGGCAGACUUAGGGGAUUCAGAAGGAAAACUGCCCCAGUGAUUGCAUGGGAGGCAAGCAGGAGUGUGCCUGGCUUGGUCGCUACCCACAAAUGGAUGAGAGGAGCUGAGCAGCCAAUCGUACCCCUGCUCCCAAUUGUCUAACCAGAGAUGGCUGUCAUGUGCUGGCCAGAGCUACUGACAAGUCUGCCCUCCCAGGUCGCUGCAGAAAAGCAGCAGGUGAGCUGGAUGGGCCAAAUAGAGGGAAGGGCAUCUGGGCUGGUGAGCCAGGCUUUCCAAGGCUCGGUCUGAGGGACGGCAACAGCUGGGGAAACCUGGGUCAAAGAGCAGACAGACAGCAGUGAGGGCUGCCAACCGAGGCGAAGGAAGUAGCCAUGAGUGGUUCCCUCGGGGCCUGGCCAGGUGCUGCCUGCCAGAGGGGGCUAUCUUCCCUUCCCUGGGAAUCAGAACCAGAAAUCUCCAGCACAUGUCAGUCCUUAGCACUGAACAGCCAGCUCAUGUGGAGGAGAGGCUGAGAAAGGGCCUGUUCAGCCCUUCCUGCCUGCCUCAGGUCCCAUGUGACGUCAGCAGGUCACAUCCUGGAGAAACAGUCUUCUUUAAAGAAGGUGCUCUGUACAGGUUGAAGAGUGCUGCUUUACAGCAGCAAGUGCCUGCCAUCCUGGGAUUUUUUCAUCUGUUUCUGGAGUCUGCUCUUUUAUUGGUUAUUUCUCUAACUUGACUUUAAUUCAUAGUCUCCGUUAUGAUCAUAAAAGACUUUAAUUGAUACUUAUUUGAUGGAAUCUACCUUAUUCAUGAAAUUUAUUACUUCAUCCAAGUACAAGCAGGAACUAGAAAGUGGAGUUUGCUACGGUCGCCGUGAGCGCGCCGCGCCUACCAGAGGGAAGAGGGAGCCGCUCCAGCAGUGUCCUUCCUGGAACUCUUAGGAAAUGGGGGCAGGGCUCCAGGACUCCAGUGCUCCAAAUUAAAACCUAGCCUCCCAGGGGAGCCUCAGCCUUGGCCUACUGGUUGCAAACAUAGGAUGGUUUUAAAACAAGUCUGCCCAGCCUCCGGCCAAGAAGUGGUGUCUGGUUCCCUCCUCAUGAGCAGGCUGGCCUUAAUGGCUUGCUUGUACCUAAGAGCCUAAAGCAGAAGUGACUUGCUAGGCUGCUCUGUCAAAGGCCAAGGUCUCCGUGCAUCUGGAUCCAAUGUGAGAAUUCAUGACCCUGAAACCAUCAUGCCAAAGGGUUACACAGAAGGAGGGGUCCCCCAAAUGUCUGCAUCUCCCCCAGACUCUCAGAAGGAUUUGGGGGUGCUUGUUCCAGAACUGAAAGAGUCGGCAGUCGUAAUAAAUGACUGCUGUCUUGCACUGACUGCCCUGUCGGGAGUAAUUUGUUACAAAGCCAAGAACAACCGGAACAGACAAGCCUCAGGAACCCCAGGCCCCGUCCAGUCCCUGUCCCUCUGUUCCUCCACUUGCUUUUCUGAAACAGGAGGACUGAGGGCCAGGUAAAGGUUCUUGCCAGUGUUUGGCAAAAUGAGAAGAAUUUUAAAAGGGGAGUGGGAGAAGUCAGCUGAAUGCACCCCACUGGAGCACGCUUCGUCUCCAAGGCACGCCCUGCCUGUUGUUGGUGUACCUUUUAUGAGAGGAUGGUAACUCUGUGGGAACUGGCUUUUAACUGCCUCACUGGGUCAAAUUUGAGAGUUGGCCAUCCCGUAUCACAAAUGUGUAUAGGAUUUGACCAGUUUGUGACAUCCUGAGUAGCUGUCACUUGGACAUUUGACAGACCAUCAUUCACGAAAUAUCUUCAUUAAAGGAGCCUCUUCUUCCACCCAAGGUACUGAUGAAACCCCACCCCAGCCUAUCAGCUCAGGUGCUUGGCACUGCUUUAAAACAAUUCUAGAUCUCCGAGGAGACUGAGAGGCUACGGCCCCAACAAGAAGCCAGCACCCGACCCACCAAUGCAGGGCAGUGCAUUGCACAGAGACACAGUGAAACCUCAGGGAAAAGGUGUCAGCAGAUGCAGUUUCCAAAAACAGUGUUUUCGGGUCACAGAGCAGAAAUCCGCCAGCCAGAAAGCACUGCAGCUUAAUUCCUAAAAUGGUAAAGAGGCAGAAAGGUUCAGGCUUCAGCCCCUGGCUUGCUAUGUCCCCCUGGUUGCUCUGUAGCCUGGGGCAGCUUUACAGGAGCCACAUCCUAGGAUCUGAAGUAGUGAGCACCCAACACCACUGGGCCAGGGCCAGACAAGCUGACCUUCCUAGUUGGAAGCCAGGAGAGGGGGCAAGUGUCUGUGUCCACAGGACAUCCCACAGGGACACCAAGGAGGGGCUUCCAUGCUGCGCUUCCCACGGUAUUGCCUCCCUAGCUCUGUAGCCAACUGUGGGG